GGUUUUGUUGAUUUCCCCUCAACUUCUCACAUGUAUCUUAAAAUCUUUGGUCACUCAUCCCUUCUCUGAAUUAGGAUUUGAGCAUCUUUCUGUUAUGCUGUUGCCCCGCUUCUAUUGCAAUACUCCCCUUCUUCAGAAAGUUUUUCUAGACUAAUGUCCAGAUUAAACUUCUUUUCUUUGACAAUAAUGAUGCCACGACUUGGACAAAAUGCCCAUUGCCCCUGGCUCCUGCUUUCUUCACCCAGUGCUGCCUUAUUGGACUCCUUGUGCCUCUCCAUGACUGGGGAAAUCAGGAUCCACAGUGAGCUUCAACUGAGAAUCUAGAAGAGAGUAGACAGAAAAGUAUUUUUCCCUUCCCUCCAAAUGCAAGGAUAAUCUUUCGUGAGUCCAGGAGGAAGGCUCAUUCCACACUAAGUGUUCUGAAUCAAAAAGAUGAACAAAAUACAGUGCCAUUCUUCAAGGACUUCACAGUCUACAGGAAAGGGAUAUAGUUAAACAAAUAACUACAGAAUUGGAAAUUGGAGCUGAUGUGAUUAGAAGGGUUUUGAACAAGGGGCAUCACUGUGACUCUCUCUGCUUUUGCAAACUUCAGGAAAACCUUUAUGCACAGUUGAAAAUACAGAAUCUCAGAGUGAAGCCCUAACUUCCCACAGCAGAUGGGGUCUAUGAGGAGGAAGAAGUGGAUGCAUGGACCAGUCCUGUUUCGAUGACAAGUCUCAUGGUGCUACUGUGCCUCCAUGAGCUCCUGAUGCCCAGAAGCUGGUAUCCUGUGAGUGGCAUUGCAAAGCUCGGAGAGCAGCAGCGGACACUGCAGCCUUGCUAAGAUGUCAGCAUCUCUUCUUAAAGGUGAGCUUCUAAAUGGCAGGAGUGACAACUAGGGCCAAGUUGUGGGUACUUGGCACCCACAGCUCUUAGUUUCAGAACCUCCUUCUCCCCAGGUUUCAUAUCAGCCUUCACCAUGCUUGUUAAUUUGGACCAAAUCAACCAGAGUCCCCUCCCCUAAGUCCUAACUGCUGAACUAGGCAGGGAUCGGUCUCAGCCCCUGGAUAAAGGACUGCUAUCACAUCUGUCCUUGAGGCCUUCAAAGACUUGCUAACUAGAAAAAUGACUAACACAAGGAUUUCAGGGCCCAAAACAGGGACAGUGGGAGUCCUCAAAGUAUUCCCUGUUGGCAUAAGGCCAAGGCCAUUCUCUUCUAACUCAUGGGUCCAAAAAUUACUCAGUUGGCUCCCAAAUUCCGGGGUCUGCUGACUCUUGCGACUGAUGGGGCUUGCCUGCUGAAUUUUGACAUUCUUAACAUAGUGUUCUUGAACACUUCUGAAAACAGGGGGUUUGUGAAGCAACUGCUUCUACUGCUCAAUUCUAAUGUUCUUCUAUAUCAAGAUAAGCUGGAAUUUUCCCCCUUGUCACUUCCACCUCUGGUCAUUUUCCUUCUCUCUGGAACUGGACAGAACAAGCGUAAACCCCUUUCGCACAAAUAGAUGUUUGCACAUUUGACUUUAUUGUGCUUGCAUUUGCAUUUCUGGGUCUCUGCUGCUUUAGGUUAAAACUUCACAGCUUCUCAAUUGUUCUUUAAAAUGAUGUUCACAUUCAUCAUAUGAAUGUUUUCUGCUGGAUAUAUUCCAAUUGAUUCGUGCUUCUCUUAGGCUAUGGCACCUAAAUCUGACAGUCCUAAUAAAGCUGAGCGUUUAGGGAAAGGACAGACAAUUCCACAGUGCCGUGGUGGGAUAUUUAGUAAGAGUCUUCUGUAUAAUAGAUAGGCCAUGGAUCACCUGGAAGUCAACCACUGAGUGGAUUCUCUGCUAUUGUGGGAACAUAAAACCUACAAGCUACCCAGGAAUAUCUUCCUAUGCUUAUUGACCCUAAAGGAUGCCCAUAUCAUUUUGGUUCUCCACACAAGGAAGAUAUUCACCCAUGCUUGACUCCCUCACGAGUCAACUCUCCAAAUCUGCCAUAAGGUUAAUUCUUAAAACAUGUUCAUGAUCAACUAUCUCAUGUGCCAGUCCUAAUCCAGAUGGCAUUUGGCUUCACACUCUAUUAGCUGAAAGAAUGGAGAUUUCUGAAAAAUAAGACUCGUAUGCCUUCUUUACAUACAUUUGGACUAAUUUUCACUCCCCUCAUUAAAGCUCUCUGUGAUUGACAGCAGUUGAUGACAACCAGAUCUGCUGAUAGAACUAAAUGUUUUCAGUUUUCUCUUCACAGAAAUAGAUAUCCAGAGCAAUUUGAGAGCUCACCAUUUUGGUGAAAGUUAGAAGGAGAGCAUAUAGAAAGAAUAUAUACAUUAAGACUGGAGCAGAAAAGGCCUUUGAUUAGAUGGAGUAAGUAUCUCAGGAAAUAUGUACACAGAAAUGAUCUUCUCUACUCACUCUCUCAGAAAUAAAAUCUCCAAGACAAAUGCACAAAUAUACCGUAAGACAUUCAAUCAACCACUCUUUUCUGAGCCCCACACCUAGCAUAAAUGAGGCAGUAAGCACUGACCAUAGAGUCCCUAGGCUUGGAUAUGAUGACUAAUUCUGCUUCAUAUUGGCAAAGCAUGUUAGUCUCCUCUCUGAACUUCAGAUAAUGAUAGCUAGCUGCUUGCAAAUCUCAAGAAUUAUUGGGUUAUAUAGCUUAAGUUAUAUAAGUUGGCUAAAAUGGUUUGUGUUACUGUGAAAUGUUACAGAAAGGUAAAAUAUGAAUAAUGCCACAUUCUGCCUCAUCUGAUACUAAGUUGUACACAGUGUCCACUAGAAUAUAAAUGCUAGACAGCUGGAAUUGCUCUCAUCUCUGCCGUUUCAGUAUCUAGCAUAGUACCUGUCAUGUUCUAGGAGCUUGAUAAAUGUUUGUUGAAUUGACUUCCUUUAAAUUGAAUUACUAACUUGCAAGGUCUUUGGGGGCAAUUGUAGAAUCUCAUUUUACAUCAUCGCCAUUUCCUUGCUCAAAGCUGACAUGAGGAAGUAUGCAAUAAAUGGUGAGUGAAUGAAUGAAUGGAUGGAGAGGAACUGAAAAGAUCAUUCUCAACCUGGAAUGCCCUUUAGAAUCACUUACAGUGCUUUCAAAAAUUAAUCUCUGGGCCCUUAUCCCAGAGAGCGAUUUAAAAGUUUCCCAAAGUAUUUUAAUGUAAAGUCAAGGUUGAGAAUCAAUGACUUUGAAUGACAAGAAAAUAUAAGGAAGAGUCCACUCCCUCCUUUUUUCUUUUUUUUUCCUCACCAAUGUAGGUUUUAUAUUCUUAAGUGAAAUAAAGCAUUCUGAAAGCUUUUGUAUUUUUCUGAAUAAAGUACUCUAAAAUGGAAGAGUGAUGUUGCUACUGCUUUUUAGAAAAUACUGUCAAAAAUUGGUUUUCUAGACUUCUAGAGGCUGGUGGACCUCCCAGUAGCUAUCACUUGGCAGACACUUGACCCUAUUAUCUCAGUAUAACUGAGCUAUGAAGCCCAGUUCAACCGCCAAGGCCAGGACCCAGUAAUUCCGCUGGCCUAAUGUUCUGAGACGCUGCCACCUUGUGGGCACUCUGGAGCGACACUUACACCAGCUUCCUUAAAACAGGUGUAUCUUAGAUGGCCUUAGGUUUUCCUUGUUAUGUAUAUUCUGAUAUUUCUGGAAAAUAAAUAUUUGUAAGGAAAAGAGAGUUCUGGAUGCUCCAUGAAGACGAUGCUACAGAUACAGACAUGAACAGUAGGUAUGGUGUGGAGUUUACAUGAGCAGGAUUGAUUUAUCCCUGUUGAAUAGCAAGUGACAGAGGCCAUAAGAUGAAAAGGUACUUAAGGACAAAGAAUUGGUUAUGUCAAAUCCACUUAUAAUGGAAGCCAUCAUCCUCAGCAAACUAACACAGGAACAGAAAGCCAAACACCGCAUGUUCUCACGCAUAAGUGGGAGCUGAACACUGAGAACACAUGGACAUAGGGAGGGGAACAACACACACCAGGGC
Molecule: RNA transcript, 3904 nt
Organism: Piliocolobus tephrosceles (Ugandan red Colobus)
Lineage: Eukaryota; Metazoa; Chordata; Mammalia; Primates; Cercopithecidae
Gene name: 40S ribosomal protein S24-like
Exons: 5
Source: RefSeq, a predicted model, not a curated record